This 208-nucleotide long non-coding RNA is filed under the name Elaeis guineensis (African oil palm). Its description in RNAcentral is "long non-coding RNA (EGUI_LNC005346)". The record is from RNAcentral. Lineage: Eukaryota; Viridiplantae; Streptophyta; Magnoliopsida; Arecales; Arecaceae.
GGUUAAUCCAAAUUCAAAAUAUUUUAAUAAAUUUUAAAAAAUAAGGAUCUAAAAAUCAAUAGAAUAUCUUUUAAAGGAUAACAGAUAUUAAAGCAGAUUCGAUCAAAAUUAACAUUCAUAUGGUAGAGGAAUAAAGAGAGAUAAAGGAUGGGUUUGGAUUGGAUCGGAUCAUUCAUCUUAAGAUCCAAAUUCAUCCAAAAGUCUCCAC